RNAcentral lists this unclassified non-coding RNA (352 nucleotides) under Hevea brasiliensis (rubber tree). The record is from RNAcentral. Lineage: Eukaryota; Viridiplantae; Streptophyta; Magnoliopsida; Malpighiales; Euphorbiaceae.
GCCUAAUGUGAUUCCUAACAUUACCAUGCGAGCAACCCAGAAAAACAAAAUAUCAUGACCAGUUUCCAGAGCUGAUGUUGGGUAGAAUGUCCUUAGAUCUUCAGUGUCAUCAGGCCAACCUAACACAGAUAAUGGAAAGAGACCCGAGGAAAACCAAGUAUCAAGCACGUCAGGAUCUUGUGUUAAAUGGAACUUCUUUCCUGCAUAAAUUUGUCUAGCCUCCUCCUGAGCCUCUUCCUCAUUUCUGGCAACCACCCAGUGAUCAUUAUAAGCACCAAACUCCUUCAGUUGAUCAUCUUCUAAUGUUGCAUACCAUGCAGGAAUCCUGUGACCCCACCAAAGUUGCCUUGAG